UACUCUCACACUCUCUGAUCCUUUGGAUUCAGGGAGCGGUGGACUUGGGUGCUUGCUGCUUUCCUGGUGGCUCACCUCAAAUGCGUUAGUGCACCUCUUGGUUGGACAUAGUACGGCGUGAUAAGUAUCUUCGCCGGCACCUCGCAAGAGGGUGGCCGAUUGGGAGCUCUGUGCUUUCAAACCGUCUUCGGACAAUCUCUGACA
This 204-nucleotide unclassified non-coding RNA is filed under the name uncultured Sebacina. RNAcentral's name for it is "sequence contains ITS2". Lineage: Eukaryota; Fungi; Basidiomycota; Agaricomycetes; Sebacinales; Sebacinaceae. The record is from RNAcentral.